CCUACGGGUGGCAGCAGUGGGGAAUAUUGGGCAAUGGAGGAAAGUCUGACCCAGCAACGUCGCGUGAAGGAUGACGGUCCUCGGAGUGUAAAGUUGUUUUUUAAGGGGAGAAGAAAGUGACGGUACCUUAGGAAUAAGUAUCGGCUAACUACGUGACAGUAGCCGCGGUAAGACGUAGGAGGCGAGCGUUUUCCGGAGUGACGGGGCUUAAAGGGUGCGUAGGUGGUUUGGGAAGUUAGUAGCGUAACUCCGAGGCUCAACCUUGGAAAUGCUGCUGAAACUGGUGGCCUUGAGUGCAGGCGGGGCAGCCGGAAUGCCUGGUGUAGCGGUGGAAUGCGUAGAUAUUAGGAAGAACCCCGAUGGCGAAGGCAGGUUGCUAGACUGUAACUGACGCUGAGGCACGAAAGCGUGGGUAUCAAACAGGAUUAGAUACCCGGGUAGUC
This 443-nucleotide ribosomal RNA is filed under the name uncultured bacterium. Its description in RNAcentral is "partial 16S ribosomal RNA". It matches the Rfam family "Bacterial small subunit ribosomal RNA", at positions 338 to 795 of the family's 1533-position model. The record is from RNAcentral.